AAUCAUGGCAUAGCAAAUAUUUGACAUGCCAUCAUUCAUCAAGAAUUUUGUCUAUCCUAUCUUGUGUGAUUCGAAUAAAGAAAAAUCCGUUUAAACACGAGAAAUUAUUUUCACACAAUAAGACUCAUAAUAAAUUUUAGAGAACUUUAACAAAAAGCUUUUUGUAUUGUUCAUUUUAACGAAAAACCACAUUUUAGACUAAAAAGUCAAUCAUGUAUUAUUCAUUUUAUCUUUUAUUUUGUCCUUAUCGUUAAAACUCAAAGUUUUCAAACAUUUUUUUAUUAAUUUUCCUUAAAUUUUAAGGUGUGAAUCAAAUUUGGAUUUUAAAAAUCCACUUCCACUAGUUCCACACUAAUUUUAUAAGAUGUCCCACUUUAAAUAUCAUUUGUAUUCGUAAAAUACAUCACAUUGAUCACAAACUUUCCGAAAUUUGAAAUUGAUUUCUAGAAUUUGGCCUUUGGCGUUAAAAUGUUUAACAGAUGUAUGAAUCUUUGAAAUUGUUGAGCUCCAUUGCCCAACAAGUUGAGUUUAGAUCCCACCAUUCCCAUCAAUUUUGUGCUAUAUUUGCAAUUAAAUUCAACUCAUCGCGAUUUGAAAUGACUUGGUUUUUAUAGCUCAAACCAGUAGAGACUAAAUUAAUUCAAGGAGAAAUUUGGUUCUCAUUCCUCUUUUUUCAACUCCAUUGAUCGAAACCUUAUUCAUUUUCAAUUUUUCAUCAAGGUCCCUUGGUUUUAAUAAACGUCAUUAAUUAUUUCAAUAAUAAAAUAUUUUACAUGUCAAGAUAAUUAAAUUUUACUUCUAAAUAUAUUCAUUUAGUGUUAGAAACAUUACAUUUGAUAUAUAUAUAUAUAUAUGGCUAAAUUUUGCAUCUUAUUUUUUUAUUUUUUAUUUGUACCCAUUUUAAUUUGCAACCCUUUUUUUAAAUUGUACCAAUUUUCUUUUUAGUUUUAGUUUGUAUAUAAAAUGUACCCAUUCUUUUUUAUAUAAAAUGUACCACCUUUUUGGUAAAAAAUGCACCAACUUUUUGUAUGUAAAAUGUACCGUAUGUAAAAAAAUGACAUUAAUAUAAGUAAUGACAAAUCAUAGGUUUUAUUUAAAUAUAAUUUAUCUUAAUGACAAAUCAUGUCAUUAAGAUAAAUUAUACUUUUUUAUAUAAGUAUAAUUUAUGUUCUAUAGUUGUAAGACUCAACAGGAUUGGAAUUUAACACAACUCCAAUGAUAUCAAGUCUUAAGCCAUAAAACAAAAAGAAAACUAAUGAAAAAUGCUCGAAAAUUUUGAGUUUGAACGAAAAUGACAAAGUAAAGAGUAAAGUGAAUAAUACCAGUAUUGACUUUUUAGUGUAAAAAUGUGAUUUUUCGUUAAAAUGAACAGUGUCAGAAGCUUUUCAUUAAAUUUCCCUAAAACAAAUGAUUUUGCCAUGACAAGAAAAAGAAAGUAGAGAUAAGAACACUGACGGCUAAAACACUCGUUGUGGGUCGGUGAUGUGUCGAAAGAUUGGUUUUGCUGCUAACCUAUGCACUAGGGUUGGGCCUUUAGUUGGUGCCCGAGUUUUCUAGGCCUAUUGAUAUUGAGGUUGGGCAAACAGCCCAAAAUACAAGAAAACCCAACAAAUGGUGAAUAAUGUUAUCGUCGGCGCAUGGUGUAAACGGUGAAUAAUGUCUUCCUCCUUAACCUAAUGGCUCUUAAUUUUAACUCUCAUUACAUUUAGUUUAAAUGAAUUAAUCAUUUGUAAAAGAAAAAAUGUUGGUCAUGUUCGGACUAUGGUGCUCGAAUACGAGAGUGGGGGGUUCUGCAAUUUGUGAAAACUCAAAAUUUCUUAAUUUGCGAGCCUAAUGGAUUUUCAAAAAUUUAAAAAGUAUAAAAGUAAUUAAAAAAUGUCCACUUCUUAUCCGUUCCGUGAGAGUUAGCAACCCAAACCCAAUUGAGUCUCCUAGUUUUUUUGGUUGAAAGGUGAAAUUUAUUCAAUCAAGUCUAACGGAUAAGUAAGUAUAUAUUCUCAAAAAAAAUGUUAAAAAUAAUUGAAUGAAACUGCCAUGUAUAGUCUCCUAGUUGACUUUAUAUUAGGGUUUCAUAUAACUAUAUAAUUAUUGGGUUCACUUAUAAACAUGACCAAUGAAGCUCCAAAAUGGUCAAACGUGAGUGAACGUGUUGAAUAAAGUAAAAAGUUUCACAUAGACUAUUGUACAAACAAAUCAUAACUAAUAUCAGAUGGUUCCAUUUUUAAUUGUAUGAAGGCCUUUUGCAUAGAAACUCCAAACUUAAUAAUUGCACAGGUGAUUAAGUGAGGACAAUAUCGACGCUAUUAAUGGUAGACCGCGUCCUGUCUCUAAAACUUUAACAUUAUCAUGCCGUGCUUCAUUGUAUUUGUUUCUCAUUGGCUUAUAAGCUGCAUAAAUGUCAAUUUGUUCUCUAAUCCUCCCCCCCCCCCUCUCCAAGUCAAGGAGGUUCUUUGUUCUUUGAAUGGAGAAGGCAUCCACUUGAACAAAAGGAGGGGAGGAUUAGUAUCGUUUACUUGUCCAAUAUUCUUUUGAAGUAAUGACUUGAAGUGGACGUGCAUCAUCUUCAUCUACUUGUACCAAAACAAGCAAAAAAAACAAAUCACUCUCACUACUUGAUGGAUGGACAAAGAAAGAGAGAGUGAGAGAGAGCCAACUUGGUUUCCUUCCUUUUUAAGAUUUGCACUACCUCAUAAAUAUAGGUAUAUUUUGAAGUUGAAUUUUCUGGUUGUGGUUUCUUUGUGGUAACCCUACAUUGCCACUUGCAUUAUGUGGUGGUCGAUCGAUCUUCAAUUUAGGUGAGUAUGAAAUGGGUUGUAAAUAGCGUAUAUGUAAGUAUGAAAUGAGUUGUACACUCAGUCGAUAUCUAAGUUUGAAUUCUCAUAAAUAAGGGUGGGUGAAAAAAAAAUUGCUCAACCAAGGCAACCACCAAACCAAACCUAAAAUAUCAAUUAAUGUAAAAAGUACAUAUUUUAUGAACAAGUAAUUUGUUGAAAGUGGUCCUAUUGAACCUUCCCGAGCCGGUUUAAAUGACAUGGUUAUGACUCAUAAGCAUAAUACCAUUUCAAUUUAUCAAAGAAAUUCCACAUAAGACACAUAAAAAAAGACUCAAAACGUGCACAAAUAUAUGACGUGACAAGACAUGAUUAACACAACUUUCCUUCUUUUUCAACGAGUAAUAUGAAUUAUUCUAUUGUUCUAUUAUGAUUUUCAUAUUCGUCCGCGUAUUGAUCAACACAUACUUGACACAAACACAACACCAAUAUAAAUAAGUAACACGAACACAACCUGAUGGUCACCCCCACAUAUGAUUUCGGAUUGCGGUUACAUAGGGUUUAGGACACGAGCC
RNAcentral lists this long non-coding RNA (3346 nucleotides) under Malus domestica (apple). RNAcentral describes it as "long non-coding RNA (MDOM_LNC007293)". The record is from RNAcentral. Lineage: Eukaryota; Viridiplantae; Streptophyta; Magnoliopsida; Rosales; Rosaceae.